UACGUAGGUGGCAAGCGUUGUCCGGAAUUAUUGGGCGUAAAGCGCGCGCAGGCGGUCCUUUAAGUCUGAUGUGAAAGCCCACGGCUCAACCGUGGAGGGUCAUUGGAAACUGGGGGACUUGAGUGCAGAAGAGGAAAGCGGAAUUCCACGUGUAGCGGUGAAAUGCGUAGAGAUGUGGAGGAACACCAGUGGCGAAGGCGGCUCACUGGCCCGUAACUGACGCUCAUGCACGACAGCGUGGGGAUCAAACAGG
RNAcentral lists this ribosomal RNA (253 nucleotides) under uncultured bacterium. RNAcentral's name for it is "partial 16S ribosomal RNA". It matches the Rfam family "Bacterial small subunit ribosomal RNA", at positions 524 to 776 of the family's 1533-position model. The record is from RNAcentral.